CCUACGGGGGGCUGCAGUGGGGAAUAUUGGACAAUGGGGGGAACCCCGAUCCAGCCAUGCCGCGUGUGUGAAGAAGGCCCUCGGGUUGUAAAGCACUUUCAGUGAGGAAGAACGCCUGGUGGUUAAUACCCAUCAGGAAAGACAUCACUCACAGAAGAAGCACCGGCUAACUCCGUGCCAGCAGCCGCGGUAAUACGGAGGGUGCGAGCGUUAAUCGGAAUUACUGGGCGUAAAGCGCGCGUAGGUGGCUUGAUAAGCCGGUUGUGAAAGCCCCGGGCUCAACCUGGGAACGGCAUCCGGAACUGUCAAGCUAGAGUGCAGGAGAGGAAGGUAGAAUUCCCGGUGUAGCGGUGAAAUGCGUAGAGAUCGGGAGGAAUACCAGUGGCGAAGGCGGCCUUCUGGACUGACACUGACACUGAGGUGCGAAAGCGUGGGUAGCAAACAGGAUUAGAUACCCUGGUAGUC
RNAcentral lists this ribosomal RNA (465 nucleotides) under Vreelandella stevensii. Its description in RNAcentral is "partial 16S ribosomal RNA". It matches the Rfam family "Bacterial small subunit ribosomal RNA", at positions 338 to 795 of the family's 1533-position model. Lineage: Bacteria; Pseudomonadati; Pseudomonadota; Gammaproteobacteria; Oceanospirillales; Halomonadaceae. The record is from RNAcentral.